UCCCAUCAUCUUCAGAAUCAGUCUGGACUU
RNAcentral lists this non-coding RNA (30 nucleotides) under Mus musculus (house mouse). The record is from RNAcentral. Lineage: Eukaryota; Metazoa; Chordata; Mammalia; Rodentia; Muridae.